GCUGGGCGCAGUGGCGCAUGCCUGUAAAUCCCAGCAGCUCAGGAAGCUGAGGCAGGAGGAUUUCGAGUUCAAAGCCAGCCUCAGCAAAAGCAAGGCGCUCAGCAACUCGGUGAGACCCUGUCUCUA
This 126-nucleotide small RNA is filed under the name Marmota monax (woodchuck). Lineage: Eukaryota; Metazoa; Chordata; Mammalia; Rodentia; Sciuridae. The record is from RNAcentral.